RNAcentral lists this ribosomal RNA (419 nucleotides) under uncultured bacterium. Its description in RNAcentral is "bacterial SSU rRNA". It matches the Rfam family "Bacterial small subunit ribosomal RNA", at positions 28 to 445 of the family's 1533-position model. The record is from RNAcentral.
GAUGAACGCUGGCGGCGUGCCUAACACAUGCAAGUCGAACGGUUAAGCCACCUUCGGGUGGGCAUACAGUGGCGAACGGGUGAGUAACACGUGACCAACCUGCCCCUUGCUCCGGGACAACCUCGGGAAACCGAGGCUAAUACCGGAUGCUCCGGCCCCUCCGCAUGGAGGGGCCGGGAAAGCCUCGAGCGGCAAGGGAUGGGGUCGCGGCCCAUCAGGUAGACGGCGGGGUAGCGGCCCACCGUGCUUUCGACGGGUAGCCGGGUUGAGAGACCGACCGGCCACAUUGGGACUGAGAUACGGCCCAGACUCCUACGGGAGGCAGCAGUGGGGAAUUUUGCGCAAUGGGGGCAACCCUGACGCAGCAACGCCGCGUGCGGGACGACGGCCUUCGGGUUGUAAACCGCUUUCAGCAGGGA